GAGUUUGAUCGUGGCUCAGAUUGAACGCUGGCGGCAGGCCUAACACAUGCAAGUCGAGCGGUAGAGAGAAGCUUGCUUCUCUUGAGAGCGGCGGACGGGUGAGUAAUGCCUAGGAAUCUGCCUGGUAGUGGGGGAUAACGCUCGGAAACGGACGCUAAUACCGCAUACGUCCUACGGGAGAAAGCAGGGGACCUUCGGGCCUUGCGCUAUCAGAUGAGCCUAGGUCGGAUUAGCUAGUUGGUGAGGUAAUGGCUCACCAAGGCGACGAUCCGUAACUGGUCUGAGAGGAUGAUCAGUCACACUGGAACUGAGACACGGUCCAGACUCCUACGGGAGGCAGCAGUGGGGAAUAUUGGACAAUGGGCGAAAGCCUGAUCCAGCCAUGCCGCGUGUGUGAAGAAGGUCUUCGGAUUGUAAAGCACUUUAAGUUGGGAGGAAGGGCAAGUAAAUUAAUACUUUGCUGUUUUGACGUUACCGACAGAAUAAGCACCGGCUAACUCUGUGCCAGCAC
RNAcentral lists this ribosomal RNA (511 nucleotides) under uncultured bacterium. RNAcentral's name for it is "bacterial SSU rRNA". It matches the Rfam family "Bacterial small subunit ribosomal RNA", at positions 9 to 514 of the family's 1533-position model. The record is from RNAcentral.